Molecule: long non-coding RNA, 1025 nt
Organism: Nymphalis io (European peacock)
Lineage: Eukaryota; Metazoa; Arthropoda; Insecta; Lepidoptera; Nymphalidae
Exons: 2
Source: RefSeq, a predicted model, not a curated record
AUCGGCGAUUGUCUGAAUGUAUGUUUACAUUUGUUACGAGUUUAUAAGUAUUUUAGAUAUUCUUAUAUUUAUUCUCCAAUGUACGAUUGAUUGGAGCUCACCCGUCGGUGUGAUCGAUUGUCGAAAGAAGAUGUAGGGAUUCGACACGUGAAUGAUGAAAACUAAUUAAAGGACUGAAAUUUUGAAUAUUUAUUCGGUCCGUGAACAGUGCACGACGAUAAAUAUAAGGAGCGCAUAAUGAAAUUCUAUAAUUUUUUGCCUUUGUUCACUGUUCAGGGAAUAAGAUUUCCGAUGUCGGGAGUGACUAAGCUGAUCGAAUUUACUACAGAUUUAAGCGGUCAAAUAAUUCUAUAUUCGGUUGGAUUUUUCAUUAUUUAUGAUCAGUUGAGGACUGAUCGGAAGUGAACAAAUGUUCGAAAUGAUUUAAUCGAGCGUCGGCGUACAUUAGAUGUAGAUGCGUUACAAUCGACCUCGGAUCCGCUGACGUAGCUUAGCGUUAGACUAGCGAACAGAGUGAGAGGGUUAAAGACAAUAUUUGUAAAUAACGUUAUCGUAAUUACCUGGAAAAUUAGGUGUUACAGUAGGCAUUCAUACACUCUUGCGUUUAAUGGCAAUUUUGUUCCAAAAAUCGAAUGUUAAUUACUUGACCUGCACUGAAGAACUUUUUGUUUUAAAGUGUCAUAUAAAUUGAAAAAAGUUUGGACGCUCUUAACAUUAUGAUACAUUGAUCUUUUUGAUAUAUUCUAAUUGUACAAAAUUGUCAUUAAUAGCCAGUUUGUAAGUUGUACAAGGUGCGUCGUGCGAACGCGACGUGGCUUUACGAAACCGAUGGGAUCAAAUCCUUUAAGAAACUUACAUUAACAGAGAAACGGUGGCGAACUGAAACAUUCAGUAUAUUAUAUUUUAAAAUAUCGUCUAUUAUCACAAAAAAGACGUUAGAUGUAAAAUAGUGUUACUAAAUGUGAUAGUCUUCUUAUUUAUUUAACAUUUGAAGAAUUCUUACAUAAUAAACACCUCGUGUACAU